UGAGCCUAGAACUCAAAGCUCUGGAUGCC
This 29-nucleotide non-coding RNA is filed under the name Homo sapiens (human). The record is from RNAcentral. Lineage: Eukaryota; Metazoa; Chordata; Mammalia; Primates; Hominidae.